RNAcentral lists this ribosomal RNA (303 nucleotides) under uncultured Sphingomonas sp. Its description in RNAcentral is "bacterial SSU rRNA". It matches the Rfam family "Bacterial small subunit ribosomal RNA", at positions 110 to 430 of the family's 1533-position model. Lineage: Bacteria; Pseudomonadati; Pseudomonadota; Alphaproteobacteria; Sphingomonadales; Sphingomonadaceae. The record is from RNAcentral.
GUAACGCGUGGGAAUCUGCCCUUGGGUUCGGGAUAACAGUUGGAAACGACUGCUAAUACCGGAUGAUGACUUCGGUCCAAAGAUUUAUCGCCCAAGGAUGAGCCCGCGUAAGAUUAGCUAGUUGGUGGGGUAAAGGCCUACCAAGGCAACGAUCUUUAGCUGGUCUGAGAGGAUGAUCAGCCACACUGGGACUGAGACACGGCCCAGACUCCUACGGGAGGCAGCAGUGGGGAAUAUUGGACAAUGGGCGAAAGCCUGACCCAGCAAUGCCGCGUGGGUGAUGAAGGCCUUAGGGUUGUAAAA